GUGUCGGGGAGGGGCAUUUGGAGGGAGGCGGAGCCAUGCCCAGGAGUGUGGGGGCCAUAGGGCAAUGUGGGGAGCGGGGGGAGAACCUUAAAUUUAUCCCCCUCCCCCCCCUCAGGUUUUCUGUCCUCCCUCCUGUGAGCCCAUUGGAGAGGACCUAGAACUGCCCCUGCAGAUCACGGCCAGCCCCGCCCCAGCCCCCCGCUCCCUGGAGGAGGAACUGCAGGAGGCCAUCCAGAAAGCCCAGCUGGUCCCAAGUCAGUCGAUCCAGGACAUCCUGGAGGAGCCGCUGGUGUGUCCAGGUGAUCUGCUUCCUGUGGACAUCUCCU
Molecule: non-coding RNA, 326 nt
Organism: Pelodiscus sinensis (Chinese soft-shelled turtle)
Lineage: Eukaryota; Metazoa; Chordata; Testudines; Trionychidae
Source: RefSeq, a predicted model, not a curated record